AGAGUUUGAUCCUGGCUCAGAACGAACGCUGGCGGCGUGGAUAAGACAUGCAAGUCGGACGAGAUUUUUCGUUGUAGCAAUACGAUGGAAAGUCUAGUGGCGAACGGGUGCUUAACACGUGGGCAACCUACCAGGAAGUGGGGGAUAGCUCGCCGAAAGGCGAAUUAAUACCGCAUGUGAUUAGAGAGGACAUCCUUUCGAAAUUAAAGUCGGGGCAACCUGACGCUUCUUGUGGGGCCCGCGGCCUAUCAGCUAGUUGGUGAGGUAACGGCCCACCAAGGCUUUGACGGGUAGCUGGUCUGAGAGGACGACCAGCCACACUGGGACUGAGACACGGCCCAGACACCUACGGGUGGCAGCAGUCGAGAAUUUUUGACAAUGGGGGAAACCCUGAUCGAGCGACGCCGCGUGGAGGAUGAAGGUCUUCGGAUUGUAAACUCCUGUCAUUGGGGAACAAGGUGCAUACGUUAACUGCGUGUGCAUUGAUAGUACCCGAAGAGGAAGAGACGGCUAACUCUGUGCCAGCAGCCGCGGUAAUACAGAGGUCUCAAGCGUUGUUCGGAUUCAUUGGGCGUAAAGGGUGCGUAGGCGGCGCGGUAAGUCGGGUGUGAAAUCUCGGAGCUUAACUCCGAAACUGCAUUCGAUACUGCCGUGCUUGAGGACUGGAGAGGAGACUGGAAUUUACGGUGUAGCGGUGAAAUGCGUAGAUAUCGUAAGGAAGACCAGUGACGAAGGCGGGUCUCUGGACAGUUCCUGACGCUGAGGCACGAAGGUCAGGGAGCAAACGGGAUUAGAUACCCCGGUAGUCCUGACAGUAAACGGUGCACGUUUGGUGUGGGAGGAUUCGACCCCUUCUGCGCCGGAGCUAACGCGUUAAACGUGCCGCCUGGGGAGUACGGUCGCAGAUUAAAACUCAAAGAAAUUGACGGGGGCCGCACAAGCGGUGGAGUAUGUGGCUCAUUCGAUGCACGCGAGGACUUUACCAGGCCUUGACAUGCAUCUCUAAGUUGGUGAAGCCAGCGAGGUAGCAAUACCU
This 1036-nucleotide ribosomal RNA is filed under the name uncultured bacterium. RNAcentral describes it as "bacterial SSU rRNA". It matches the Rfam family "Bacterial small subunit ribosomal RNA", at positions 8 to 1027 of the family's 1533-position model. The record is from RNAcentral.